UUUCUCAUGUGCCAAACCACAUUUUCUCUACUUUUCCUUCUCUCUAAACCUCUCACGCCCUCCCUCCUUCUUCCACCCCAAUCCAUCAAAGUUAGCCCAAUUGUAAUGGAAAUCAACAUGCAAGCUUCAAAUCUUGAUCCUUGGAACAAUUUAAACCUUAUGCAAGAUUAAAAUUCUUCUUUCCUUUCCUCUUUUCCCUCCUAGCUGAACUCAACCACAAGCUCACAAGUUUUGAAUUGUUGCCAUCAGAUUGUUUAGAGAGUGGCAAUUAAGUUGUUGUGCUGAUUAUGACUUGAAUUGAUGAUUAGAAGUAAGAAAUAAGGAAGAAUGAGGCUAGGGUUUGGUUGUUCUGCUGGAAGAGUGGGUAUGUAUGUGUGAAUAUUUAUCCAUUGUGAUUUGGUUUGGCAAUAGAAACAAGAAAUUUGCAGAAAAAGGAUUACUGAAAGUUUGGGUCAAAGCUGGAUUUUGGAGAGUUGAGUAGAGAAAUUGAAGUUUUGCAGAAGGCAGAGACUAUGAGCUGGAGAUAAGCUUAAUCUGAUUCAGAAGGUUAUGGUUGGCUUACCUCUUCAUAAUCUUGGAGUGGAAGAUUUCACCAAUCACAUAUUUGAGAGUUCCUCCUUCAAGGCUGCUUCCACUUUACUUUCCCCGGGAUAAACAUGAGGAGCAAGUUGCUUUGUCAAAACUUCCUGCAGAUGUGGGGAUGAAAAUGGUGAGACCAUCAUAGAUGAGCGUAAAAUCAGAAUAAAGCCUUUACCUAAAAAGUGUGUUUCAAGAUCACCUGAUGCUGCAGUUGAUAUUCCUGUCAGCGAUAUUAGCCUGGUUCGAAAGAAUUCAUCAAAUUUAGAUUCAUUUUUGGAUCCUGCCUUCAUGUCCUUGAUCAAAGGCGUCUGGAACAGUGGGAGAAAACUGCUGCAGCACAAAGAGGCUUUAAUUGUGCUAAAUUACUUUGAUAUGGCGACAUUGACGGGCCUCCGUUGUCUGCUGCCGAAGAAUAUUCUCUCCACUCUAGAUACCUAUCAAAAGCAAACUCUUUAAAUCUUUCUGAAAUUGCAGAAAUUAGAAUUGUGAGUGUCCAUUUAUUUCAUCAUCUGUUUUGCACUACUCUGAAUUCUAAUAAAUCGGUUAUAACCAUUUCUGUCUUUGUUCUUCUAAAUAAAAUUUUGUUCUAUGUAAAACUUCACUUAUUCUUUCUUUCCUUAGCCAUAUAUCAAUACUUACUAAUUGAUGGUUUUAGUUCAAAUGGAAAGUCAUAUCUUAAUUUUAUGUGUCACCAAUAGUCAAUUAGUUCUAUUGUAAUUAAGAAAAUUACAAGUUAUAGUGUAAAGUUAUAGUGUGUGUGGUCAAGGCUAUAAUUCUUAACAUGAUUAUAAGCUAAAACAUGAUUUUUAUGAGGAAAGUUUUAGUGUAUUCCAAUGAAUGGCCGCUGCAGCACCCUUCUGCAACCUCUUCUUCCAAUUAAUGCUAAGUUAAUCAUAUAGUAUAUGUAUAUUUGUAUAUGUGUAGCUAACUGCUCUUAAUAAAAGGCUAGAAAGGUCUGAUCGAGUUGGUAAGUUGUAUUGGCUAUCUUCCUGUUAUCUAAUCACAGUUAUUUUCUGCUAAACAUUGUAUCUGUCCAUUGCUAUUUGGUACUGAGUUUUUAAAGGCUUCCAAAUAUAGGGUGCAAGUGUUCAUGUUUGUACAUUUUCAUCUCAAAUGUGAGAUGUAUAAUAAAACCUCCCCUCCUCAUUCCUCAAAAUCCAAUUUUAAAUCAAUUAAGAAAUGAAGAGUAGUCCAUAUUCCUAUCAUUGAGGCAGUGUGAUGUUAAAAUAUAUUUAGGGGAUCUUUGAGCAAUGUCUUGAACGGUAAGAUGGAGAAUUCCAUUAUGAGUUACUUGAUAUUUUUAAUAAUAUAGAUUAGAGUUUGAGCAAAUGUUAUACUACUUUUUAUUUCAAAGUUGUAUCUGUAUAUAUAAACAAAGUGAAUCAGGUGUGUUCUUUCUAAUCUAUUCCAUAAUAAUAUUGUGCUUUUAUGCACCUUUAGUACUCAAUAAUCAGUCACUUAAUUAUUUGGGCUUCAAUUAGCGUUAAUCACAAGUGUAAAUUUGAUCAUGAAACAGUUAUGAAGUGGGGGCACCUUUAGUAUGAUAAGGUGAAUGCAUAACUUUGCUAUCUUACAAUAUUUAUAUUUACCUUUCAAGGUUACUCUAAAAAUGAAGAGUACACACGUUGCUGGGACCAUUAAGAAAAAGAAAAAGAGUAACUUUUCAAUAACAUUUGUCUUGCUCUAUAGUUUCUUAAUUUUUAAACAACAGAUUUGGAGGUUGGUUUUGUUCCAUUUAGGGAUUUGCGAAAGGCAGGAUCAAAAGGGUUUUUCUUUAAUUCCAUUCCCUUUAUGUUUUGAAUUUACAGAUGUGGUGAUUGAACUGAUCAAAGAUAUGCCCGCUUGGACGGGACGCCAUUUACUGGAUGGCGGUGAGAAUCGUCGCUACUUUGGAUUGGAAAGCCAGCCUUUGAUCAGAGGGCAGAUGAGGCCAAUAUUUUGCCAUUCCUUUGUGGAGGGGAAGUGAUUAUUUGACAAUGUUUGUUCAAGAAAAGAGGUCACCGUGGGAGCGGCGUGAACUCUAUCAGAUCAUGACUGAUGGAAGAUGGAAGAUCUAAAUUGCAAGUAAAAAUGUUCAAUAAAAUCAUUUUCAAUUGGCAAUAUGUCAAGAAUGAGCUCAAUAUAAUCAUAUGCUUUUCUGUGCAUUACAAUGUAUAUAAAGUUACCAUUCAUAGUUACCCCUAAAGACUUUGAAUUAUUCAUCUGGCAUGUUGCUUAUUGAUUGGCCUAUAAUCCGCUUAUUUUCACAA
Molecule: long non-coding RNA, 2828 nt
Organism: Medicago truncatula (barrel medic)
Lineage: Eukaryota; Viridiplantae; Streptophyta; Magnoliopsida; Fabales; Fabaceae
Exons: 6
Source: RefSeq, a predicted model, not a curated record